CCUACGGGGGGCUGCAGUGAGGAAUAUUGGUCAAUGGGCGCGAGCCUGAACCAGCCAAGUAGCGUGAAGGAUGACUGCCCUACGGGUUGUAAACUUCUUUUAUAAAGGAAUAAAGUGAGGCACGUGUCCCUUUUUGUAUGUACUUUAUGAAUAAGGAUCGGCUAACUCCGUGACAGCAGCCGCGGUAAUACGGAGGAUCCGAGCGUUAUCCGGAUUUAUUGGGUUUAACGGGAGCGUAGAUGGGUUGUUAAGUCAGAUGUGAAAGUUUGCGGCUCAACCGUGAAAUUGCAAUUGAUACUGGCAGACUUGAGUGCAGUUGAGGUAGGCGGAAUUCGUGGUGUAGCGGUGAAAUGCUUAGAUAUAACGAAGAACUCCGAUGGCGAAGGCAGCUUACUAAUCUGCCACUGACAUUGAUGCUCGAAAGUGUGGGGAUCAAACAGGAUUAGAUACCCUGGUAGUC
Molecule: ribosomal RNA, 460 nt
Filed under: uncultured bacterium
Lineage: Bacteria
Description: partial 16S ribosomal RNA
Rfam family: Bacterial small subunit ribosomal RNA
Source: RNAcentral